This 827-nucleotide ribosomal RNA is filed under the name uncultured bacterium. Its description in RNAcentral is "bacterial SSU rRNA". It matches the Rfam family "Bacterial small subunit ribosomal RNA", at positions 105 to 933 of the family's 1533-position model. The record is from RNAcentral.
GGUGAGUAACGCGUAUCCAACCUGCCCAUCACUUGGGGAUAACCUUGCGAAAGUAAGACUAAUACCCAAUGACGUCUCUAGAAGACAUCUGAAAGAGAUUAAAGAUUUAUCGGUGAUGGAUGGGGAUGCGUCUGAUUAGCUUGUUGGCGGGGUAACGGCCCACCAAGGCUACGAUCAGUAGGGGUUCUGAGAGGAAGGUCCCCCACAUUGGAACUGAGACACGGUCCAAACUCCUACGGGAGGCAGCAGUGAGGAAUAUUGGUCAAUGGACGAGAGUCUGAACCAGCCAAGUAGCGUGCAGGAUGACGGCCCUAUGGGUUGUAAACUGCUUUUAUAAGGGAAUAAAGUGAGUCUCGUGAGACUUUUUGCAUGUACCUUAUGAAUAAGGACCGGCUAAUUCCGUGCCAGCAGCCGCGGUAAUACGGAAGGUCCGGGCGUUAUCCGGAUUUAUUGGGUUUAAAGGGAGCGUAGGCCGGAGAUUAAGCGUGUUGUGAAAUGUAGACGCUCAACGUCUGCACUGCAGCGCGAACUGGUUUCCUUGAGUACGCACAAAGUGGGCGGAAUUCGUGGUGUAGCGGUGAAAUGCUUAGAUAUCACGAAGAACUCCGAUUGCGAAGGCAGCUCACUGGAGCGCAACUGACGCUGAAGCUCGAAAGUGCGGGUAUCGAACAGGAUUAGAUACCCUGGUAGUCCGCACGGUAAACGAUGGAUGUCCGCUGUUGGUCUGAAUAGGUCAGCGGCCAAGCGAAAGCAUUAAGCAUCCCACCUGGGGAGUACGCCGGCAACGGUGAAACUCAAAGGAAUUGACGGGGGCCCGCACAAGCGGA